This 253-nucleotide ribosomal RNA is filed under the name uncultured bacterium. RNAcentral describes it as "partial 16S ribosomal RNA". It matches the Rfam family "Bacterial small subunit ribosomal RNA", at positions 524 to 776 of the family's 1533-position model. The record is from RNAcentral.
UACGGAGGGUCCGAGCGUUAUCCGGAUUCAUUGGGUUUAAAGGGUGCGUAGGCGGACUGGUAAGUCAGCUGUGAAAGUUUACGGCUCAACCGUGAAAUUGCAGUUGAUACUGUUGGUCUUGAGUAUAGAUGAGGUGGGCGGAAUUUGUGGUGUAGCGGUGAAAUGCUUAGAUAUGACAAAGAACUCCGAUUGCGAAGGCAGCUCACUGGGGUAUAACUGACGCUGAUGCACGAAAGCGUGGGGAUCAAACAGG